This 75-nucleotide transfer RNA is filed under the name Myxococcales bacterium. RNAcentral's name for it is "tRNA-Ile". It matches the Rfam family "tRNA". From Rfam's summary of the family: Transfer RNA (tRNA) molecules are approximately 80 nucleotides in length. Their secondary structure includes four short double-helical elements and three loops (D, anti-codon, and T loops). RNAcentral also lists the same sequence under 2 other names. The record is from RNAcentral. Lineage: Bacteria; Pseudomonadati; Myxococcota; Myxococcia; Myxococcales.
GGGCCCGUAGCUCAGCGGUAGAGCAUUCGGCUCAUAACCGACCGCGCGCAGGUUCGAAUCCCGCCGGGCCCACCA